This 490-nucleotide ribosomal RNA is filed under the name uncultured bacterium. Its description in RNAcentral is "partial 16S ribosomal RNA". It matches the Rfam family "Bacterial small subunit ribosomal RNA", at positions 30 to 507 of the family's 1533-position model. The record is from RNAcentral.
AUUGAACGCUGGCGGCAGGCCUAACACAUGCAAGUCGAACGGUAACAGGAAACAGCUUGCUGUUUCGCUGACGAGUGGCGGACGGGUGAGUAAUGUCUGUGAAACUGCCUGAUGGCGGGGGAUAACUACUGGAAACGGUAGCUAAUACCGCAUAACGUCGCAAGACCAAAGAGGGGGACCUUCGGGCCUCUUGCCAUCUGAUGUGCCCAGAUGGGAUUAGCUAGUAGGUGGGGUAACGGCUCACCUAGGCGACGAUCCCUAGCUGGUCUGAGAGGAUGACCAGCCACACUGGAACUGAGGCACGGUCCAGACUCCUACGGGAGGCAGCAGUGGGGAAUAUUGCACAAUGGGCGCAAGCCUGAUGCAGCCAUGCCGCGUGUAUGAAGAAGGCCUUCGGGUUGUAAAGUACUUUCAGCGGGGAGGAAGGGAGUAAAGUUAAUACCUUGACUCAUUGACGGUACCCGCAGAAGAAGCACCGGCUAACUCCGUG